GGGAAAUAGUAGUUAUUGGCCCCAAAUUGCUCAUUCUCCUCUUAUUGUGUCUGUUACAUCAGGAUGUCCAUUUUCCUCUACUCAGCAGCACUGGAAAAUACGUGAAAACAUUUUGAAAACUAAAUGAAGUUUAUAGAUUUUGGUGGUUUUAAUUAGUACAUCUUUGAGUCCUAGUGAGACGAACCCUUUAAUACACGCUCAAUUAUCUCUUUUUCUACCUCCACAAAUUGCCUGUUCCCAUGCUUUACUCAUUUUUAUUGAGUUUUACCAUGUUUCCUAUUGAUUCAUAACAAUUUGAAUCAAUAAAUAUCAUUUAUCUGCCCUAGAUUACAAACAGAUUUUCUCUGUUUCUUAUUUGUAUUUUUAUUUCAUUUUUUUUGAACUUCUUCCUAUAGUGAUAGGUAGAAGGCCUUUUGCAUCGUGAAACCAUGCACACCAAUAUUUAGCUAUAUUUGCUCCUAGUAGUUUCAUUUUAUCCAUAAGAUUAUAUAGCUGUGUACUAUUUAUGUAAUUAAAAAUAAAAUUAAUUAUAUCCUGUCCUACCUCUCAAAAUCCUAAUCAGAUGUUAAUUGAUAGUAAUUUAUUUUAUAGACUACCUACACGGGAAGAAUAGAUAUUACUAUACUAUUAGGUGAUUCUGGUCAGAGAUGUGUCAUUUAGCUCCUUUUAUUCAUGGGUUUUCUUUCUUUCAUUAAGUACAAAUGUAUCUUUUUUGUAUAAAAGUCAUUAUACAUCCUUCAUAUUCUUAUUUAUUCUUACCUAUUUUAUAUUGCUAUUGAUAGUGUUUAGGGGCUCUUUUCCACAUAUUUUCUAACAGGUGGCUUAUUAUAGGAAAUCUAUUCAAAUAUAAUUAGAGCUCUUUUACAUUUUACUUAUAUUUGGUUGAAUCUAUUUGUCAAUCAUCUCCUGAUCAUCUCUCAUAAUUUGAUAUCCCCAUGACUCAGUUUCUCCUAACAUUUAAAGGUGAAUAAAGUGCCCACCUAACAGGUGUGUUGUGAUGACUGAGUAGCUAUAAAUUUCUUAUCCCCGUGCCCAGCACAAAACCAGCACCAUCGAAGUAUUAGUUGUGGCGGGGGUGUUGAUGUUGCUACAAUUAGAUUUCCUGGGGGGUUUCAGUACCCAGUGUUUCUCAGUCUUCUUUUUUAGGAUCCAAAUGUGCCAAUGCACAUUAUCCUUUUGUCCAUUCUUUGCUCCAGCUCAUUUUGUUCCAACCAAAACUCGUUAGGACGGUCUGGCUGAGACUCCCUUCACAGCUCCCAGGUAGUUUUCUCCUUCGCAGGCAUGAAGCUGCCAGUUUGUGGCUCCCUCUCGCACCUCUUUCAUGUACCACAUCUUGGAUAAAUUCCUCAGCAUCUCGAAGCACGGGACACACUCCUCCACGGUUACCAGGCUUCAUGUGUCCUUCUCCCCUGUUCUAUUAUUUUGGUCACUUCAGUUGGCAUUCAUAAGACUAAGUGUGUUAAAUCACAGGCUCAGAUUCUCAUCCUAACUAGAAGUGACUUCUCUUUACAUCUUAACUCCUGUUUUGACCUGUUCAAUGACACCGUCCCCCUAAUUAUCUGUAAUCGCUUCUCCUACUCUUGUGCAUUUGUCAAUGGCGCCUCUCUUUCCCCCCUUUCUGCCUUUAUGUAUAGUAAGUAAGGGUGCUGUCACCGUUCACCAGAGCAAAGAGAACUUUUAUUAAAGAAAAAAAAAAAAAAAAAAGCAGAGGAAUUGCAAUUCAGGGCAAAGAAUCUGGUGAACUAUAGGCAAAAGCCUAGAGAACAGAGAACAUUCCCUAGAGGAAAAUGAGAGGUCUAAGUGGCGGCAGCUUCUCAUGGGCUGCAGACGAGGGCAGAUGCUGGCUGAGAGAGGAAAUCUUCCUUCUCCUAGCUGGACCCUGCAAGCUGCAAAGAGCAGCCUGUGCAGGGGGUGCCCUCCCUUCCUGGCUUCCCGAGACUCUAAUUUUGAAUUAGGUUCACUUAACUCAUUUUCCCAGUCUUUAAAAUUUCCCAGACCUUUACUAUUAAGAAAGAAACAAAGUUAUAGGCAAACACUGUGAGAAGCAGAGUCAAGGUAAAGGUCCCAAUUAACACCCAAGUAGAAAUCUCUUACGUGUCUAGUUCUGUGCCAAGAGAAAUUAAUCAGGGGUUCACGCUGGAGAUUAGAAACAUCAGUCUGAAACCAAACUCUGUCAUCUUCUCCAGUUAUAAUAACUCCUUGUCUCAAUCUGUAAAUUGUGCUUUGCUAAAAUUAAAUUUUAGUAGCUACAAGCAAUAAGUAUUGAAUUCAUAUCUAUGAAAGCAAAAGAGAGCAAUUUAUUAUCAAUAAAAUGUAUUUCCCUCUUAAUCCCCCACUGGCAUUGCUAAUGAAUUAUGUUGGACUAAAUUAAAAAAAAAAAAAUUCCUUUCAAAAUAUCACCUCGAGAGUAAAUGGAGCACUUGCCACAUGAAAGAACUCCACGGAAGAAUCAUUUGCGAGCCUCAAAUGAAGUCACUGGGAAGGAAAUGCCACACAUGAUCCAGUUCCUCAAGUUUCCCAAUCGGGGCAAGUCUGUGCAGGGAUCAAUUCAAAAGUCAGGAGUUCCCGUCGUGGCACAGUGGAAACGAAUCCGAGUAGGAACCAUGAGGUUGCAGGUUCGACCCCUGGUCUUGCUCCGUGGGUUAAGGAUCCGGUGUUGCCGUGAGCUGUGGUGUAGGUCACAGACGCGGCUGUUGGAUCCCGAGUUGCUGUGACCCUGGCGUAGGCCGGUGGCUACAGCUCCAAUUAGACCCCCUAGCCUGGGAACC
Molecule: long non-coding RNA, 2768 nt
Filed under: Sus scrofa (pig)
Lineage: Eukaryota; Metazoa; Chordata; Mammalia; Artiodactyla; Suidae
Description: lncRNA (ENSSSCG00005006175.1)
Source: RNAcentral